ACGAACGCUGGCGGCAUGCCUAACACAUGCAAGUCGAGCGCCCCGCAAGGGGAGUGGCGCACGGGUGAGUAACGCGUGGGGAUCUGCCCAUUGGUGGGGAAUAACCUCGGGAAACUGAGGCUAAUACCGCAUACGCCCUGUAAAGGGGAAAGAUUUAUCGCCGAUGGAUGAACCCGCGUCCGAUUAGCUUGUUGGUGAGGUAAUGGCUCACCAAGGCUUCGAUCGGUAGCUGGUCUGAGAGGAUGACCAGCCACACUGGGACUGAGACACGGCCCAGACUCCUACGGGAGGCAGCAGUGGGGAAUAUUGGACAAUGGGCGAAAGCCUGAUCCAGCAAUACCGCGUGAGUGAUGAAGGCCUUAGGGUUGUAAAGCUCUUUUAGUAGGGAAGAUAAUGACGGUACCUACAGAAAAAGCACCGGCUAACUCCGU
This 431-nucleotide ribosomal RNA is filed under the name uncultured bacterium. RNAcentral describes it as "bacterial SSU rRNA". It matches the Rfam family "Bacterial small subunit ribosomal RNA", at positions 29 to 506 of the family's 1533-position model. The record is from RNAcentral.